CGCGUGGAGGAAGAAGGUCUUCGGAUUGUAAACUCCUGUUGUUGAGGAAGAAAGACGGUACUCAACAAGGAAGUGACGGCUAACUACGUGCCAGCAGCCGCGGUAAAACGUAGGUCACAAGCGUUGUCCGGAAUUACUGGGUGUAAAGGGAGCGCAGGCGGGAGACAAGUUGGAAGUGAAAUCCAUGGGCUCAACCCAUGAACUGCUUUCAAAACUUUUUUCUUGAGUAGUGCAGAGGUAGGCGGAAUUCCCGGUGUAGCGGUGGAAUGCGUAGAUAUCGGGAGGAACACCAGUGGCGAAGGCGGCCUACUGGGCACCAACUGACGCUGAGGCUCGAAAGUGUGGGUAGCAAACAGGAUUAGAUACCCUGGUAGUCCACACCGUACACGAUGAUUACUAG
RNAcentral lists this ribosomal RNA (400 nucleotides) under uncultured bacterium. RNAcentral describes it as "bacterial SSU rRNA". It matches the Rfam family "Bacterial small subunit ribosomal RNA", at positions 398 to 819 of the family's 1533-position model. The record is from RNAcentral.